CGCGACGCCGACGCCCGCAUGAAGCCCGACGGGCCGUGAGGCCGCGGGCUCAAGACGGGCACGGCGGUCGUUCGCGUCGAGGGACAAAAUGCGUUGCUCGGGCGAACGGAGUCUCGUAACGAGACCCCACGCCCGCGCACAACGUUCCGCAUCCGAGAGAACGGGCAUAGCACACCGUGGGCCGAGGCAGCCAGCGACUGGGCGAGGCUUGCCGGGGACACGGGGCGUGCCUGACGUCCACCCCGCAACCCGCGAGGGCUGGGGGCGGAGAGGGACGAACGGGACCGUCGGAUUCCUUUCGAUAGGUAGGCAACACAGGAUACCGAAUGCACCCGCAAGGCCGCGAAGGCACGUUCGGGUAGACUGAAGCGGAUGGGGAGUCGACAGUUCAAUGCACGAGCACGGAGCCU
Molecule: unclassified non-coding RNA, 410 nt
Filed under: Commiphora mollis
Lineage: Eukaryota; Viridiplantae; Streptophyta; Magnoliopsida; Sapindales; Burseraceae
Description: partial external transcribed spacer
Source: RNAcentral